GAAAUGCCCCUCAUCACUAGAAGAGAUGGGGAUGACUAUGUAAACGACCAUCCAUCCUUCAUCUUUUCCCUGUGCUUUCCCUUGGGGAAAACCGCUCUUUACUGCUCUAUCGGAGCAAACAGCAAUUGGGGCUUUCUCUGGUUUGAUGUUUGCUCCUAUUUGGCAGUCAGGAGCAGGCCUUCUCUGGGAAAGGAGCAGGGCAAUAUGAAGAUUGCUCAGACCCAUGUUUUCUAGGCAUGGGACAAGUGGAACAAUGGACUUUGGGCUUUCAAAUGUCAGGGGUGCCCUCUGCAACGACAAAAUUUGGCACCCUCUCGCCUUCCAGUCUAAGUUAUUGUUGCAGCAGUCCCUGGAAAACCCUAUCAACUUGAUGCCCAGUGUGGGUGAACUGGUUGAGCUCCCCUAAACCCACCUCUGUUAACAGCUCCCUUUUGAGUUCAGGAACACACAACUCUGUUGCUGCCGACCCCUUUGUUCCUGCUCUAGAACUCCGUAGCUCACCUCCAGACCAUUCUGGCCCUGCUGUGACCCCACUUUAUAGACCAAGUGCUGAUCAUGGGCAGAGGGCGGGGGCCCAAGAUGAACACCACCACCAUUGGACUGGAGCCCCAGCAGCUGCCCCAAAGUAAGUAGGGUUUCUUCAGGCCAUUUUGAUUUUCAGCAGCAACAACAUAAAUUUGCAAAGGUUUGGUCUCAUUCAGGUAAAUUGGCCUCAUUCUUUGACUGUAAAGUCCAAGAAUCGAGUGGCUUGCCAAUUAGCUGUCACUAUUCAUUAUUAUUAACACGGUGUUGCUGCGAGCCAUAUUUAGGGCACUGACUUUUUGAAGAGAUUAAGAUUACACCUAAUAAACCACUUUUGACGACAGGAGAAAAAUGUGCCAGGAGUGCAUCAGCAUCUGUCACAGACGCAGCUGCUCUGCCUUUGUGCAGCCACAGUGGCUUGUAAAUCGCAACUCCCUGCUGUCAAGUGCGCUUGAUUUGUGGGGCGUUUGCAUUUUGCAAAUCCCAUCGCAGAGUGGAGCAGGACAGAAAAGGAGCAGAAACUGGUCUGGUUCAAUGUCCACCCCCAGGAGCCCAGGGACACAACAGUGGCUCCAUAAUGGAUGGCAACGUCUUAACACAUGGUGAACUUACGGUCAUUUGUUAGUUUCUGAGAUUUCAUUUAAUGGAGCUGUGAAUGUGGCAGAUUCAGAGAGGGGUGUCAAUAUUUUUAAAGUUCUGUAUUCCAAUGCAGAGGAUUGUGUUAAGUGGGGCACGUGGCCAUUCUCCUUCCCUGUCCAUGGACAAAGCCAUGUGCCCCACAAUACACUAUUAAGUUUUGUUUAUUAGCACAUUAUCUGAUCCCUUCUUGAACAUGACCUCAGUGUCUAGGAGUACCUUUUACCAGUUUCUGUUAGCAAGACAGCUACGGCCAUUUUUGGCUCAAGAUAGGCUGACUUCUGCUGUCAGUGCACUGGUGGCAAUCUCUAAAUUUCAUUGCUACAAUACGCCCUUUGUGGAGUUGCCAUUGAGGCUCACCUGAAGCUGAAGCUACUGCUAAAUGUGGAAGCCUGGCUGCUCCCUGAGGCAGAAUAUUGCUGUCAUAUACCGUAUUUUUCGCUCCAUAAGACACACUUUUUUCCUCCUAAAAAGUAAGAGGAAAUGUCUGUGUGUCUUAUGCAGAGAAUACUGUGGGGAGGAGGGACGGAUGGGCUCCCAUCUGUCCCUCCUCCUCGGCUCGCUUUAAAACAGCAAAGUGGGACAGGGGCCACUUACACGGGUGUAAAGCAAGCACAGUGGGAGCAGUGUAAUCCCUCCGCCCCCGCACUUGGCCGCCCCAUUGGGAUGGGAGGGUGCACGCAUGCCACCCCCUUGGGACGAUGCUCAUGUGGGUGAUGUCCCACAUCCCCACAGGCGACGUGCCACCACGCAAGACCCUCCCUCCACCACUGGUCUUGCCGGGACAGUAGUGCUUUCCUUUGUAGAAGUGUGAAAUUUGAAGGGCGGCUGUGGUUUCCUCCUUGUGUUGUGUACAAAGGUGUGACUUUAAAUGACUUUAAAUUGACUUUAAAUGGGAAUUGAAUCAGAUUUCUCCCUCAUUCCUCCCUCAUAUGAAAGCCCCCAGAGCUCUCUGCAAUGAACAAAAAGGAAGAAAGUCCAACUUCUUUUGGCUUUAUUAAAAUAAUUGUGUAGCGCCAAACCAUACAGUCCUUAGAUCUAAGGGACUCAAUGUGGGAAGCUCAUAUAUUUCCAUUGCCUGCCCCCCUUACUAGGGGAUAAAGUCUCUCUUCAUUUUACACUGUUCACUUUACAUGGUUGAAAUAUUAUGAUAUACUGGUAGUUUAUUAAAUAGUUUAGUACAGUGGUACCUCGGGUUAUAGAAACUUCAGGUUACAGACACUUCAGGUUACAGACUCUGCUAACCCAGAAAUAGUACCUCGGGUUAAGAACUUUGCUUCAGGUUGAGAACAGAAAUCACACGGCAGCGGGAGGCCCCAUUACUUAAGUGGUACCUCAGGUUAAGAACAGUUUCAGGUUAAGAACGGACCUCCGGAACGAAUUAAGUUCUUAACCAGAGUUACCACUGUACAACAUUUGAUUCAGAAUAUAUAUUUUUUUCUUGUUUUCCUCCUCUAAAAACUAGGUGCGUCUUAUGGAGCGAAAAGUACAGUUAUAUGAUGCUACAGCUGAAAGAUUUGCACUUGCUGCCAAUGAGCUUCCAGGCUGGGUUCAAGGUGCAGGUAUUGGUUUACAAAGCCCUGUAGAACUUGAGAUCCUACAUACAUAGGUUCAGUGAUUAAACUAAGCCAUCUCCCUGGCCAGUGGGGAUGAGGAGGUGUUAAUGAAUCAGGACCAAUUUUGUAGCGUUUCAAGAAAACUCGAGGCCUCAGCAAUGAAACACAACCCCAAGCACCUGCCAUUUUGAAUCAAAGUUCUGAUCAUAAAUAAUUUCAAGAAAGGAUAUAUAAAAACAAAAUGUUUGUUUCUCAUAUGAAAGAUGAGUGGGGGAAAUUGCUAAGUAGAAAACUCUGUUGGGGCCGCACGAUACUUCGGUUCCAAGAUAUGUUUUAGGCAAUGACUUUUCUCUUGAAUUUUUCAAUAUAUUGAGGUGCUCUUGGGAACAAGUAGUAUCAUUUUAGACAUUCUUUCAUGUCCUGUUAAAUUGGCAGGGCUGGAGUAUCCAUCGCAGCUGCAAAUAAAAGAAGUCAACUUUGUGCCCCCACCUUACAGGUAAGGACUUGAAUAAAAAUUGCAUAGGUUUUACUUGUUUGGGGAAUAUAUUUUCCUAGCAAUUCCCAUGAAGGCAACAUUUAUGCAAGCAGGAUAUCAGAAGGAGACUGCUGGUCCCUCUGGGUGUCGUCGGUUUGGAUUCUCAAAUGCUUGCAAGUUAUGGUAACAUUUUAAUUAGUAUUUUAGAGUUACCAUUUUCCACUUGGCAAAAGGACUACAGUAGGCCUUUCAUAUAUCCUACUCAUUAUGUCUUAUUAGAACCAGGCAAGUCAGCAUAAAUCUUGCUUCCCCCAGGAUGAAUAGGUAUCCCCAUUGGCUAAUAGCUACCGACCAAGGAAAUUCUCUUUUAUUAUAUUUGUAUGCCUGACAUAUUUUUGUAGUAUGUUAAUAAGCAUACAUAAAUGCCUGAAUAAAUGCACCGUGGAGAAUACAGGAUAUUCUUUCCUCUUUACGGCUUGGAUGAAUGAAAGCCCAUCUCUGCUGUCACCUCUGCUGCUUGGGAAGUGACGCAGUCUUCCUGUGAUACCAAAAAGGGCUGGGAAGCCUAAGGUCGCCUGGGAGAGGCCACUGACCAUGUUCUAAGCUCCUGGGAAGCCAGGGCUGGCAGAGGAAGUAGCCAUAAAAGGGCCCAUAAUGCACACCAGCUCCAGCCUUUCAACCUUAUCUCAGUGGAACUGGAAGGAGCCAUCUUUGUAAUAAUAAUAAUAAUAAUAAUAAUAAUAAUAAUAAUAAUAAUAUCUUUAUUGUCAUUGCCCCCUUCAGGGACAACGAAAUUACUUGACUGCUCCAUAAAAACACUAAUUAAACAAUACAGUAUAAUACAGCAAGGGAGAUUAGAUGACUUUCAAAGUCUGGGCUUCCCAUUCAGGGCCGAGAUCGCUCUGGAGAAGAAGCUGUUCUUAAGACGGCUCGUUCUUGUCUUCAUCGUCCUGUAUCUCCGUCCCGACGGCAAAAGCUCGAAGAGACAGUGACCAGGAUGCGAUGGAUCUUUUACUAUGUCCAGUGCCUUCCUAUGGCACCUUGUGGCAUAAAUCUGCUCUAAGGUGGAGAGUGGGCAGCCAACAAUGCUCUCUGCUGCCUUAACAACCCUGCACAACCCCAUCCUGUCCUGGGUAGUACAGCUUCUAUACCACACACAUGAUCUAUACACUGCUAAGGUACAGAGGUGCAUUGCUCUGGCACCUGGAGCGAUGCACACGCUGUGCACCUGGUGGCAGGGCGAGCGUCCCACGGGGGUGGGGCAGCGAGCACGGGGGCAGCGCCGCACGCAGCAAGCAUCCCAGGGAGGCGGUACAGCAAUGUCAUCCCCCCUCAGGGAUGACACCCAGGCCGAAUCACACACCCCAACCCCUUCCUCCGCCAGUGCUAAGGUAGCAACAUUAUUUACCCUCAGCAGUUCAUAAAUGCAUUGUGUAAAGAGGAUAAAAACUAUUUAGGGAGAAAGGCGAGGUGAACAUAAUUCCUUUUAGUACUGUAUUUCCAAAGCAGGAACCCAGCCCAGGGUAUCAACUGGAUGACAGAGAGCAAAGUUUGUGAGAGGAUUGCCAUGAUAUGGAGACAGCCGAGGCGCUGUUCAAAUUAUUUGAAUCUGGAGCAGUUACUGGAUAGAUAUUAUUAUUAUUAUUAUUAUUAUUAUUAUUAUUAUUAUAUCUUAAUCUAGAACCAUUUUUUUUUUUUUGUAUUUUCCCAGAAAGAACUGAGCCAAACGCUGGUGACAAAAGAUGAUCUGAUAAAUUAAAAACAAACAACUCACCCAAUAAGCAAGGCCUCCGUGCUGUGGACUUUCUAGUUGGCUGAGCACUAUUAGAAAUGAGAUGCUGGACUAGACAGGACAUUUGUCUAAUUGUGUCAAUUUCCAAGUAUAACUGCGCUCUAUGAGCUUUAUCUGAUCUGUGGUCCCAAAGAAGGUGUAAUAGUAACUCAUUUUAAAAAGAACACCUUCCAUCCAAAAGGCCGCCAAUCAAAUAUUUUGAGAAAAUAAACCUAUAAUUGCUUCAUUGUAACAGGCCAGGCCCUGGACAAAAAGAGAGACUGGUUUAUAAAGUGUAUUGGACUUGUCGAAGAAAACACUCAUCAAACUCCCAUAACUCUCUUUCCAUCUGCAUUCCUUUCCCUUUUCAUCAGUAAACCUAAGUGUGGAAUAACAAUUAGUAUUUGCGUACUUAUCG
Molecule: non-coding RNA, 5378 nt
Organism: Podarcis lilfordi (Lilford's wall lizard)
Lineage: Eukaryota; Metazoa; Chordata; Lepidosauria; Squamata; Lacertidae
Source: the annotation of a GenBank genome assembly